This 1554-nucleotide ribosomal RNA is filed under the name Leclercia adecarboxylata. Its description in RNAcentral is "bacterial SSU rRNA". It matches the Rfam family "Bacterial small subunit ribosomal RNA". The record is from RNAcentral. Lineage: Bacteria; Pseudomonadati; Pseudomonadota; Gammaproteobacteria; Enterobacterales; Enterobacteriaceae.
ACUUAAAUUGAAGAGUUUGAUCAUGGCUCAGAUUGAACGCUGGCGGCAGGCCUAACACAUGCAAGUCGAACGGUAGCACAGAGAGCUUGCUCUCGGGUGACGAGUGGCGGACGGGUGAGUAAUGUCUGGGAAACUGCCUGAUGGAGGGGGAUAACUACUGGAAACGGUAGCUAAUACCGCAUAACGUCGCAAGACCAAAGAGGGGGACCUUCGGGCCUCUUGCCAUCAGAUGUGCCCAGAUGGGAUUAGCUAGUAGGUGGGGUAAUGGCUCACCUAGGCGACGAUCCCUAGCUGGUCUGAGAGGAUGACCAGCCACACUGGAACUGAGACACGGUCCAGACUCCUACGGGAGGCAGCAGUGGGGAAUAUUGCACAAUGGGCGCAAGCCUGAUGCAGCCAUGCCGCGUGUAUGAAGAAGGCCUUCGGGUUGUAAAGUACUUUCAGCGGGGAGGAAGGUGUUGUGGUUAAUAACCACAGCAAUUGACGUUACCCGCAGAAGAAGCACCGGCUAACUCCGUGCCAGCAGCCGCGGUAAUACGGAGGGUGCAAGCGUUAAUCGGAAUUACUGGGCGUAAAGCGCACGCAGGCGGUCUGUCAAGUCGGAUGUGAAAUCCCCGGGCUCAACCUGGGAACUGCAUUCGAAACUGGCAGGCUAGAGUCUUGUAGAGGGGGGUAGAAUUCCAGGUGUAGCGGUGAAAUGCGUAGAGAUCUGGAGGAAUACCGGUGGCGAAGGCGGCCCCCUGGACAAAGACUGACGCUCAGGUGCGAAAGCGUGGGGAGCAAACAGGAUUAGAUACCCUGGUAGUCCACGCCGUAAACGAUGUCGACUUGGAGGUUGUGCCCUUGAGGCGUGGCUUCCGGAGCUAACGCGUUAAGUCGACCGCCUGGGGAGUACGGCCGCAAGGUUAAAACUCAAAUGAAUUGACGGGGGCCCGCACAAGCGGUGGAGCAUGUGGUUUAAUUCGAUGCAACGCGAAGAACCUUACCUACUCUUGACAUCCAGAGAACUUAGCAGAGAUGCUUUGGUGCCUUCGGGAACUCUGAGACAGGUGCUGCAUGGCUGUCGUCAGCUCGUGUUGUGAAAUGUUGGGUUAAGUCCCGCAACGAGCGCAACCCUUAUCCUUUGUUGCCAGCGGUCCGGCCGGGAACUCAAAGGAGACUGCCAGUGAUAAACUGGAGGAAGGUGGGGAUGACGUCAAGUCAUCAUGGCCCUUACGAGUAGGGCUACACACGUGCUACAAUGGCGCAUACAAAGAGAAGCGACCUCGCGAGAGCAAGCGGACCUCAUAAAGUGCGUCGUAGUCCGGAUUGGAGUCUGCAACUCGACUCCAUGAAGUCGGAAUCGCUAGUAAUCGUAGAUCAGAAUGCUACGGUGAAUACGUUCCCGGGCCUUGUACACACCGCCCGUCACACCAUGGGAGUGGGUUGCAAAAGAAGUAGGUAGCUUAACCUUCGGGAGGGCGCUUACCACUUUGUGAUUCAUGACUGGGGUGAAGUCGUAACAAGGUAACCGUAGGGGAACCUGCGGUUGGAUCACCUCCUUACCUUAAAGAA